This 460-nucleotide ribosomal RNA is filed under the name uncultured bacterium. RNAcentral describes it as "partial 16S ribosomal RNA". It matches the Rfam family "Bacterial small subunit ribosomal RNA", at positions 338 to 795 of the family's 1533-position model. The record is from RNAcentral.
CCUACGGGAGGCAGCAGUGAGGAAUAUUGGUCAAUGGGCUUACGCCUGAACCAGCCAAGUCGCGUGAGGGAAGACUGCCCUAUGGGUUGUAAACCUCUUUUGUCAGGGAGCAACGCCGGCUACGUGUAGCCGGACUGAGAGUACCUGAAGAAAAAGCAUCGGCUAACUCCGUGCCAGCAGCCGCGGUAAUACGGAGGAUGCGAGCGUUAUCCGGAUUUAUUGGGUUUAAAGGGUGCGUAGGCGGUAUGCCAAGUCAGCGGUAAAAUCGCGGGGCUCAACCUCGCUCCGCCGUUGAAACUGGCGUUCUUGAGUGGGCGAGAAGUAUGCGGAAGGCGUGGUGUAGCGGUGAAAUGCAUAGAUAUCACGCAGAACUCCGAUUGCGAAGGCAGCAUACCGGCGCCCAACUGACGCUGAAGCACGAAAGCGUGGGUAGCGAACAGGAUUAGAUACCCUAGUAGUC